GACGAACGCUGGCGGCGUGCUUAACACGUGCAAGUCGAACGGAAAGGCCUCUUUCGGGGGGUACUCGAGUGGCGAACGGGUGAGUAACACGUGAGUAACCUGCCCUUGACUUUGGGAUAACUUCAGGAAACUGGGGCUAAUACCGGAUAGGAGCUCCUGCUGCAUGGUGGGGGUUGGAAAGUUUCGGCGGUUGGGGAUGGACUCGCGGCUUAUCAGCUUGUUGGUGGGGUAGUGGCUUACCAAGGCUUUGACGGGUAGCCGGCCUGAGAGGGUGACCGGCCACAUUGGGACUGAGAUACGGCCCAGACUCCUACGGGAGGCAGCAGUGGGGAAUAUUGCACAAGGGGUGGAAGCCUGAUGCAGCAACGCCGUGUGCGGGAUGACGGCCUUCGGGUUGUAAACCGCUUUCGCUCAUGACGAAGCUUUGUGUGACGGUAGUGGGUAAAGAAGCACCGGCUAACUACGUG
Molecule: ribosomal RNA, 467 nt
Filed under: uncultured bacterium
Lineage: Bacteria
Description: partial 16S ribosomal RNA
Rfam family: Bacterial small subunit ribosomal RNA
Source: RNAcentral